AUUCCCUAUGAUGGCUUAACCAUGCUAAUACUGAUUUCUUUUGAUUGAAACAACGUUAAUUGACUGAGGGAAUA
Brassica napus (rape) is the source of this 74-nucleotide non-coding RNA. Lineage: Eukaryota; Viridiplantae; Streptophyta; Magnoliopsida; Brassicales; Brassicaceae. The record is from Rfam.